This 277-nucleotide long non-coding RNA is filed under the name Gossypium barbadense (sea-island cotton). Its description in RNAcentral is "long non-coding RNA (GBAR_LNC015659)". The record is from RNAcentral. Lineage: Eukaryota; Viridiplantae; Streptophyta; Magnoliopsida; Malvales; Malvaceae.
UGUUGGCUAGGUCCAUGCUUGAGUUUAAGAUUAUUAGCUUCAACCAUUCUGUCACAAUCGUCUAAGGAUUCAUCAUCAGAUGUUUCUGGAAACUCUUUAGAAAGUACUGUGCUUUGGUCAUUGAAUUCUUCCUCAAUUAGAUCAUCUAGCACAUCGACAAUAUGGCAUUCUUCUUUGUCCUUACAUUAAAUAGAUUCAAAAACACUGAAGGUGACUUCCUUAUCAUUAAGUCGCAUUGUUAGUUCACCUUUGUAAACAUCAAUAAGUGUUCGGUCGG